GUGCCAGCAGCCGCGGUAAUACGAAGGGGGCUAGCAUUACUCGGAAUUACUGGGCGUAAAGCGUGCGUAGGCUGCUUAGUAAGUUGGAAGUGAAAUCCUGGAGCUCAACUCCAGAAUUGCUUUCAAAACUGCUUGGCUAGAGAUCUAGAGAGGAUAGCGGAAUUCCUAGUGUAGAGGUGAAAUUCGUAGAUAUUAGGAGGAACACCGGAAGCGAAAGCGGCUAUCUGGCUAGACACUGACGCUGUUGCACGAAAGCGUGGGGAUCAAACAGGAUUAGAAACCCGAGUAGUCC
RNAcentral lists this ribosomal RNA (292 nucleotides) under uncultured bacterium. RNAcentral describes it as "partial 16S ribosomal RNA". It matches the Rfam family "Bacterial small subunit ribosomal RNA", at positions 505 to 796 of the family's 1533-position model. The record is from RNAcentral.